GAUGAACGCUAGCGGCGUGCCUAAUACAUGCAAGUCGAGCGAACAGACGAGGAGCUUGCUCCUCUGACGUUAGCGGCGGACGGGUGAGUAACACGUGGAUAACCUACCUAUAAGACUGGGAUAACUUCGGGAAACCGGAGCUAAUACCGGAUAAUAUAUUGAACCGCAUGGUUCAAUAGUGAAAGACGGUUUUGCUGUCACUUAUAGAUGGAUCCGCGCCGCAUUAGCUAGUUGGUAAGGUAACGGCUUACCAAGGCAACGAUGCGUAGCCGACCUGAGAGGGUGAUCGGCCACACUGGAACUGAGACACGGUCCAGACUCCUACGGGAGGCAGCAGUAGGGAAUCUUCCGCAAAGGGCGAAAGCCUGACGGAGCAACGCCGCGUGAGUGAUGAAGGUCUUCGGAUCGUAAAACUCUGUUAUUAGGGAAGAACAAAUGUGUAAGUAACUAUGCACGUCUUGACGGUACCUAAUCAGAAAGCCACGGCUAACUACGUG
RNAcentral lists this ribosomal RNA (497 nucleotides) under uncultured bacterium. Its description in RNAcentral is "partial 16S ribosomal RNA". It matches the Rfam family "Bacterial small subunit ribosomal RNA", at positions 28 to 507 of the family's 1533-position model. The record is from RNAcentral.